This 12208-nucleotide long non-coding RNA is filed under the name Brassica napus (rape). RNAcentral's name for it is "long non-coding RNA (BNAP_LNC002470)". Lineage: Eukaryota; Viridiplantae; Streptophyta; Magnoliopsida; Brassicales; Brassicaceae. The record is from RNAcentral.
UCCCCAUCUGAACUUUUUUUUUUUUAAACUGACUUGUAAAAGGUGAAGCUAAAUGGCGGUGGCCUUCCGUGGAGGCCGGAACGGCGUCGGAUCAGGACUCCGCAGUUUCUUCUCGUACCGGAUCUUCAUCUCCGCCUUGUUCUCUUUUCUCUUCCUCGCCACCUUCUCCGUCGUCCUCAACUCCUCUCGUCACCAACCUCACCUAGAUCACGUAAGCUUUUCCCAAUCCGAAUCAAAAUUUAGAAAUGAAUUUAGAAUCUGAGCUUCGAUUUUUGGUGUUUAGACAUUGCCGAGGACGUUUCAAUCGGAUCCGUUGAAAACGAGGUUAGAUCUGAUCCACAAGCAAGCCACCGAUCACCUCACGCUUGUGAACGCUUACGCUGCUUACGCUAGGAAGCUGAAGCUCGACGCGUCGAAGCAGCUGAAGCUCUUCGAAGAUCUGGCGGUUAACUUCUCCGAUCUGCAGGCCAAACCUGGACUGAAGCUCGAAAACGGGAACGCGAUCGAGGAGGAUGCGUUUCGGCAGAUCGAGAAAGAGGUUAAAGAUAAGGUGAAGACCGCGAGGAUGAUGAUCGUUGAGUCCAAAGAGAGUUACGAUACACAGCUCAAGAUCCAGAAGCUCAAGGAUACGAUCUUCGCUGUUCAAGAACAGUUGACGAAAGCUAAGAAAAACGGCGCCGUUGCGAGCUUGAUCUCGGCUAAGUCGGUUCCCAAGAGUCUUAACUGUUUGGCUAUGAGGCUUGUUGGUGAGAGGAUCUCUAACCCUGAGAAGUAUAAGGAUGCUCCGUUUGAUUCGGCUGUGUUGGAGGAUCCGAGUCUUUAUCACUACGCGGUUUUCUCUGAUAAUGUGAUUGCUGUUUCCGUUGUGGUGAGGUCGGUUGUGGUGAACGCUGAGGAGCCGUGGAAGCAUGUGUUUCAUGUGGUGACUGAUAGGAUGAAUCUCGCCGCUAUGAAGGUUUGGUUUAAGAUGCGUCCUUUGGACCGUGGUGCUCGUGUUGAGAUUAAGUCGGUUGAGGAGUUUAAGUUCUUGAACUCUUCGUAUGCGCCGGUCUUGAGGCAGCUAGAGUCUGCUAAGUUGCAGAAGUUUUACUUUGAGAACCAGGCGGAGAACGCGACUAGAGAUGAACAUAACAUCAAGUUCAAGAACCCCAAGUAUCUCUCGGUGUUGAACCAUCUGAGAUUCUACUUACCGGAGAUGUAUCCGAAGCUGAAUAAGAUCUUGUUCUUGGACGAUGAUGUUGUGGUGCAGAAGGACGUGACUGGGUUGUGGAAGAUUAAUUUAGAUGGGAAGGUGAAUGGAGCUGUUGAGACGUGCUUUGGCUCUUUUCAUCGAUAUGGUCAAUACCUAAACUUCACUCAUCCUCUGAUCAAAGAGAGCUUUAAUUAGAGUCUGCUAAGUUGCAGAAGUUUUACUUUGAGAACCAGGCGGAGAACUCGACUAGAGAUGAACAUAACAUCAAGUUCAAGAACCCCAAGUAUCUCUCGGUGUUGAACCAUCUGAGAUUCUACUUACCGGAGAUGUAUCCGAAGCUGAAUAAGAUCUUGUUCUUGGACGAUGAUGUUGUGGUGCAGAAGGACGUGACUGGGUUGUGGAAGAUUAAUUUAGAUGGGAAGGUGAAUGGAGCUGUUGAGACGUGCUUUGGCUCUUUUCAUCGAUAUGGUCAAUACCUAAACUUCACUCAUCCUCUGAUCAAAGAGAGCUUUAACCCCAAUGCUUGUGCUUGGGCCUUUGGGAUGAAUAUAUUUGAUCUCAAUGCUUGGAGGCGUGAGAAAUGCACUGAUCAAUACCAUUACUGGCAGAACUUGGUAAGUCCGUAUCUUUUCUUUGUAACUUAUGCAUAUCAAAUAAUCUCUUUAUCUUGUGUUGAUUGUGUGUUAAUCUCUCUUGAGCAGAAUGAAGACAGAAGUCUCUGGAAAUUAGGCACUCUGCCUCCGGGACUGAUGACAUUCUAUUCAAAGACGAAAUCACUGGACAAGUCAUGGCAUGUGCUUGGGUUAGGCUACAACCCAGGAGUGAGCAUGGACGAGAUUAAAAAAGCAGCAGUGAUACAUUACAAUGGAAACAUGAAACCAUGGCUCGACAUUGCUAUGAACCAAUACAAGUCUCUCUGGACUAAAUACGUCGACAACGAAAUGGAGUUUGUGCAGAUGUGCAAUUUUGGUCUUUAAAGAAAGAUAUCGAUGAAGAGGUAACCUCAAAUCGAUAUGUGUUCAGUCAUUCAGGGCAUUCUUUAGCUUAUAUACGUUUAUCUUUUACUAGGGAUUGGUCCGCCCUACGGGCGGGUAAGUUUACAAUAAAAUUCUUUAUAUUAAAAUAUAUUUUAAUUUUAUAAAACAUUUAAAAAUUAUUUUAAGUAUAAUUUGUUUUCUAAGAUCAUAUUGUAAAUUUCAUUUGUUAAACGUUAAACAACUGUUAUAAAUUUUCUUCUAAUAUCAUACCUUAUUUGUUAUUUGAGUUUCUAAGAAAAUGUAAAUUGGUAGUGCAUUAGGUUUGCAUUUGGAAUUGAUAUGUGUGAUACUGAUUUUAGUUUUUUUAAAAUGUUGUGUGUCAGGAAGUGUGAUUGCAUGAGGUCAUUUGGAUGAGGAAUUAAAUGUGAUGUGAGUGAGUUUGUAUGCUUCUGAAACUGAUUUAUAGUAUACAAUACCAGUAAAUUUGAUUUGUAUGAACAAUUUGAAUUGGAGAAGAAGUGUUCGGUUAAUAUAUUUCAAAACUUUAUGGGCUUUCAAGGAUUUUUGUGUUGUUGGUCGUUUAAGUUUGGAAUCCACACUCCAUUGAGUAACUGUUUUUUUUUUGCGCUUGGGAGCUCGUCAUCGUUUUGCUUGGAGUAUUUAUUUUUGCAAAACAGUUGAUAUUUAUACUUAUAUCAAGUGAUUCGUAAUAAAUUUAUGGUUAAACAUUUGGCCUCACAAUGUCUAUUUUAGUUAUUUCAAUCUCAUAGGAAUGAGUUUAUUUGUUUUAUACAACCAAUUCUCAUAGUUUAAUGUGAGUGACAUUCAUCCUACAUAAAAGUUGAAUAGGAGUAGUGUGUACUUUGUUUAAUCAUUUAUAAUCAGUUGGUAUAUUUUCUCUUUUUCAUAGUGGGAUGAUUGGUUUAAAGAACUUUAAUGGCAAAAAAGGAACCUUAAUGGCAAUCUGAAUUACGUUGGUUGAAUGAUGAUCUAAGGCAUAGCAAAGUCGGAUUUAGAAAGGUGGUAAAAUCAAGAUUUAGCCAUAGGUCAAUGAAAAUGUUAAACCGAUGGAGGCAUUAGUAGGAAAGCAAUGGUUUGUCAGCUCGAUCAGUUGGUCUAAAUGUUAAAUUAGUAACGCCAAUUAAAACCAAAGAUUCCAAUAGGAAAACUUGAAAAAACUUGUGAAAUGGAAGGUUUUGAACACGAAUGGGUUCAUUUAGUAUAUUGAUAUGUUUGUGAUUUUAAUGUUUUUAUUUGUGUGUUCCUCGGUUAAUUUAUUCUCAAAUGUUUUUAUAUGCUUAUUUGAUGAUAAGUGAUUUUUUUUAUAACAUGAUUAAGAUUAGCAAUUUUGUGAUAAGUUAACUAUCACAUUAUGUGUCAUGUUUUACAAUUAUAUUUAUUCAUAUUUUGGUUUCCUAAUAUUAUAAUUAUUAUUUUUAUAGGUAUUUUAACGGCUAAUGACUAAUUUUUUAGUUGUUGAUUUAUAUUUGUAAUAGUAAUUAAAAAUUCUAAAUUAUUGUUCUGCUUUAUUUUACUUAACUUUGCUUUCAAUUAAUAUUUAUUUUAUUAAUUGUGUUUUUACAGUCUUAAUAUUGUUUUUUUUUGGAAUUACCAUUUUCAUUAUAAAUUAAAAGGUUUUGGUUCAGUAUAUUUAUGUAUUAGUAUAGCUUUUUCGUUUCUAGAUUGAAGAGAAAAAACAAUGAAAAUAUUUGAAGUUUAAUAGAAUUUCAAAUUAAAUGUUAUAUAAAUUAUAUAAAUAUUUGAUACACGUCAUUUUAUAUUUAUUAUUUUAGUUUUUAUUUAGAUUUGUAACAAUUUAUGUAACUGGAAUUUUUAUCACAAAUAUACAAUUUAAUUGUCCCAGCAUAUCUUUACAUUUUAAUCAAUAUGUUUAAUUAAUGUUAUUUCAUAUUCGUUUGAUUGUAAUUUCGAUAUUGGUCAUCAUGUUUGUUACGGUUAGUAUAGCACAUCAAAAUUGUGAGAAUCUGAGAACCUGUUUUUGUAAGCUUCCACUCUUUGGCUCAACAGCCCCAUAGUAUGGAAUCGAAACCUGUUUGGGCACUUAUACAACCAAUUUGAGCAUGGAAGAGUGUGAUUCUUGUCGUGUCUAAAACUUGUGAGCAGAAGUUGGGUUACGGAACUAAAGACGAUAAGUGAUAAUCGUAGGAAUUUUCUUUAUUGUUAGGAUAAUUUCAAGACAGAGGAGAUGAUUUCAGGGUGCCCAAAUACAAAGUAAAGAUAAUCUUAUUCAAGAGUUGUGUUAUAAAGUCUUGUGUGCCUUCUUUGAUGGGACCCUCUGGCGCAGGAAACAGAGCUUCUCCAGCAGUGUUUCCGCUCAAUACAUUAGGUACUCCAGGUGAUGUGUCCGUAUCACUUCGUUCGUCCGCCGGUCGGUUAUGCUUCUGGAGGUGUUCUCGGACCCAUGGAGUCAGAGCCAUUGCAGAAGAUACACGUAGAUACUCUAUUUUUAUGCACCUCCACAAUUAUCAGAACUGGAUGAUCAGUUGACGUCACUCCCACGCAAUCUGCAGUUGAGAACGUGUAAGAUUCUUGAGAAAGUGUGUAGGAGGGAAGUGAUACAAACAUCCUGUUGUUCAAGAUUCUUACUCUUGGAAGAAGCUCUAGCCAGAGCCGCUUUCAUUGUUAAAGUAGAAAUGAGUGUCAGAUGUUGUAUUAAGGAAUAGUCGACCUGCAAGCAGAACUAAGUAAGCUCCAUAAGAUGUUCUGAAUCAGAACUUCUGAUGCACAAAGUGAAUGCACAGACUCUGUGAUCUUGACGAUCUGGGUAAGUUAGGUGUAGAUCGCAACUGUUGAGUCUGAAAAUCUGAAGUGAUUGUUGAUUCUGUAAGACUAUGUAGCAAAUUUUGAAUAAGCUAGUUGUGGAGUUCAUUCACAGAGUGCUCUCGCUCCUUAGUUGUGGCAGCUUUAGUGUUUGCUUCCUCGAUAUUCGUAGAAGUUUAAAAAAAAAAUGAAAGAAUACAAAAAUAAAUAGUUGAUAAGCUGUAUAGCAGUGAUUUUCAAAAUAGUGUGGGCAUAAAAAUGAAAAUUUGGAUAUAUUAGUCGACACAUACUCUAGUGAAAGACAUUACCUUGUUACAAUAUGCAAUCUCCAACUGUUUAAUGUUUCUGGCCUCUAAGCACACACCAGUUAUCUCCAUUCCAGUACACGGGGAAACAAUGCCUCCUCACCAAGUUCAACAUGUCAGAAACAUAGAUUGGAUAUAAGCACUCUAAAGGUUAAACAUGUUAACAUUUUAAAACACUGCAGAGAACAAUGGUACCUCAUAUAGACGACUCUAAACAGGUGCACCAGCUAUCCCCUCUUGUAGAAGACGCAAAAUCUUCUGAAAGAGUUUUAAUUGAUUGCUUAUUCGAGUUACUUUUAAGGAAUGGAAGUAAACCUGGUGAUCGGCGGUGGGACUGUCUAGUGGAGAUGAUGCGAGCGCCGAUGUUGUCCUGUCGAAUCUGCUGCGCUGAACCAGUUCCUGUUGUUUUAAAUCACAUUAAUCAGACCAAAUAUUAUGCGAGUAUAUUCAUUCUUCAAUUAAUUAUUGAGUGGCAAAAUUAAAAAUGAAAUAAUCAAUUGUUACAAAAUGGACAGAAACUUUAUGUUUGUUUAAUUUUUUUAAAAAUUUUGUGCAGUUAAGUGUUAGUUGAUAAUAAUUUUACGCAAACAAUACUUUUAAGUAUUUAAGCUGCUGGUUUCAAAUACUUUGGUAAUAAAAUGUUAAUGUCCUAAAGUAUAAGGGUGAGACUGGGGUUUUAAUAAUAUUGAGAGUUUAUAUCUACACUAUAAAUUAGUAAUUGUUUAUUAAACCAAUGAUUAAUGACAUUAACGUGUCUUCUUCACUAAAAUGUCUUGAGAUCUCUAUCCAUCCCAUCACUCUCCAGAGGCUAAUUCACACUCUAUCGGGCAAGCAAGAACCUCAUCCCCAUCUGAACUUUUUUUUUUUUAAACUGACUUAUAAAAGGUAAAGCUAAAUGGCGGUGGCCUUCCAUGGAGGCCGGAACGGCGUCGGAUCGGGACUCCGCAGUUUCUUCUCGUACCGGAUCUUCAUCUCCGCCUUGUUCUCUUUCCUCUUCCUCGCCACCUUCUCCGUUGUCCUCAACUCCUCUCGUCACCAACCUCAUCUCGAUCACGUAAGCUUCCGAUUCGUUUCACAAUCCGAAUCAAAAUUUAGAAAUGAAUUUAGAAUCUGAGCUUCGAUUUUUGGUGUUUAGACAUUGCCGAGGACGUUUCAAUCGGAUCCGUUGAAAGCUAGGUUAGAUCUGAUCCACAAGCAAGCCACCGAUCACCUCACGCUUGUGAACGCUUACGCUGCUUACGCUAGGAAGCUCAAGCUCGACGCGUCGAAGCAGCUGAAGCUCUUCGAAGAUCUGGCGGUUAACUUCUCCGAUCUGCAGGCCAAACCUGGACUGAAGCUCGAAAACGGGAACGCGAUCGAGGAGGAUGCGUUUCGGCAGAUCGAGAAAGAGGUUAAAGAUAAGGUGAAGACCGCGAGGAUGAUGAUCGUUGAGUCCAAAGAGAGUUACGAUACACAGCUCAAGAUCCAGAAGCUCAAGGAUACGAUCUUCGCUGUUCAAGAACAGUUGACGAAAGCUAAGAAAAACGGCGCCGUUGCGAGCUUGAUCUCGGCUAAGUCGGUUCCCAAGAGUCUUAACUGUUUGGCUAUGAGGCUUGUUGGUGAGAGGAUCUCUAACCCUGAGAAGUAUAAGGAUGCUCCGUUUGAUUCGGCUGUGUUGGAGGAUCCGAGUCUUUAUCACUACGCGGUUUUCUCUGAUAAUGUGAUUGCUGUUUCCGUUGUGGUGAGGUCGGUUGUGGUGAACGCUGAGGAGCCGUGGAAGCAUGUGUUUCAUGUGGUGACUGAUAGGAUGAAUCUCGCCGCUAUGAAGGUUUGGUUUAAGAUGCGUCCUUUGGACCGUGGUGCUCGUGUUGAGAUUAAGUCGGUUGAGGAGUUUAAGUUCUUGAACUCUUCGUAUGCGCCGGUCUUGAGGCAGUUAGAGUCUGCUAAGUUGCAGAAGUUUUACUUUGAGAACCAGGCGGAGAACUCGACUAGAGAUGAACAUAACAUCAAGUUCAAGAACCCCAAGUAUCUCUCGGUGUUGAACCAUCUGAGAUUCUACUUACCGGAGAUGUAUCCGAAGCUGAAUAAGAUCUUGUUCUUGGACGAUGAUGUUGUGGUGCAGAAGGACGUGACUGGGUUGUGGAAGAUUAAUUUAGAUGGGAAGGUGAAUGGAGCUGUUGAGACGUGCUUUGGCUCUUUUCAUCGAUAUGGUCAAUACCUAAACUUCACUCAUCCUCUGAUCAAAGAGAGCUUUAACCCCAAUGCUUGUGCUUGGGCCUUUGGGAUGAAUAUAUUUGAUCUCAAUGCUUGGAGGCGCGAGAAAUGCACAGAUCAAUACCAUUACUGGCAGAACUUGGUAAGCCCCAUAUCUUUCUUAGUAACUUAUGCAUUUCAAAAAAUCUCUUUUAUCUUGUGUUGAUUGUGUGCUAAUCUCUGAGCAGAAUGAAGACAGAAGUCUCUGGAAAUUAGGCACUCUGCCUCCGGGACUGAUGACAUUCUAUUCAAAGACGAAAUCACUGGACAAGUCCUGGCAUGUGCUUGGGUUAGGCUACAACCCGGGAGUGAGCAUGGACGAGAUAAAAAAAGCAGCAGUGAUACAUUACAAUGGGAACAUGAAACCAUGGCUAGACAUUGCUAUGAACCAAUACAAGUCUCUCUGGACUAAAUACGUCGACAACGAAAUGGAGUUUGUGCAGAUGUGCAAUUUUGGUCUUUAAAGAAAGAUAUCGAUGAAGAGGUAACCUCAAAUCGAUAUAUGUUCAGUCAUUCAGGGCAUUCUUUAGCUUAUAUACGUUUAUCUUUUAUAUAUUAUAUAGGGUUACAAAAGUGUUUUGCUUUGUUCUUUCUGUCAUAGUUUUGUUCUUUAUUUAUAUUUUGUGUAACUCUUUCACAUCAAAAGCUUUAUCCAAAACUACAAUGUGUUAAGGUUUGUUUCAUGCAAAGUUUUGACUUAUGAUUGAAACAUUAAAGAGAAAUGGAUUAGGAAGAUAAUGAAUUUUUAUCAUAUGUUGAUUUAGUUUCAUUUUAUUACUAAAAUCAUGAUGAGCUAACUACUUUACAAAACACAAUAAGAUUUUAUCAUAUGUUUGUAUAUCUACAAAAAUAGUUAGAAAUUCAACAAAGUUGUUAUGACCGUUUCUCACCGCAAGACAGAAACUCAAAGAUCCUGUCUCGAGUCAAUGUACGUCCAAACUGCACAAACCCAUCGCACCUUCCGGUCUCUCUGUCUAGGUCAACGAGCGUUGACUUCAAUUUCUCCAGUUCCUCCUCCAUCCCUCCCAUAGCAAAUGCCACAGACGACCGUUUAUUCACGGCGAUGUCCACCGUUAGUCUAAUGGAUCUCUCCACCGCCUCCAACAUACUCACAAGUCUGCUCAUCUUCUCAACCUCCUUGAGAGCCACCAUCGUUUCCCUCUCCAUCGACGUCACUGCUGUCUUUUCCCGUUUCAGAGUUUCCGACGACUCUCUCCACCUCGAAGCAGCAAAGUUAGUCACUGCUUCAACCGGUACAGGUACAAAGAUACCCGCCACGAUUUUUCCCACGGCCACUAGAGCGAUCAUCGCCGCCGCAACCUUGAUCCUUGGAUGCUGUCUUUAUGGAGUACAUUAUAUCAGAUCAAUCCAAAAUACUUUCCUAAAGGUCCAGAUGUGAUGAUUCCUCAAGAUGAAUUAACUGAUCAGCCCAAAUAUAGGAUCUUAUAUCAUAAGCAGGAGACACUGGAGCCUGAAUUGAUGGCAGAGUCAGGUACACCAAGUUUUUAUUCCUAUCAUGUUUUUAAGGAGGGGAUUCAUGGUGUGGAUACUUUGCUCCAUCAUGUUAGCUUAGGACUAUGUUAUGCUACUUAACAGUGAACUUUCUGUCUAGUUAAUAAUGGUAAUUGCUAGAAAAAUGUCAAUGUAGAGAAAUGACUUUUAAUGUUCUGGUUCAGUUGGCUCGUGAACUCUUGCAUAAUAUGCCUCUUAUUGUUUUAGCAGACAUCAUAGAAAGAGCCCGUGGAAUGUCACCCGGAAAAUUAUCCAAGGACAAAACUAAACCAGACUGCUUUCUCAAGAUGGUACUAUGCACAUCCAUUAUAUUUUUUUUUUGAUUUUAUGUUAUAUAUGCUAUGCAACCUUGCUGGUUAUGCUAUUUUUUUAUGCUGUGUUACCUUGAAUACGGAUUUGAUGGUCCUUCUUGGUCAAAAUAUGUUUUCUUAAAAUAUCUUAUUUCUGGUAAGCCUGGAUGAUAUGAGUUUUAUUCCCUUGGCUUGCAUUUAAAUAUUUCAAUCAUGCAGAUUAAAAAUGAAGUCUUGACGAAAGCUGGAAGUACAAAGGAUGUCCGCCACUUCGAGUUCCAAUUUGUUUCUUCUGUAAGUAACUUUGCUAUCACUUACUAACUAGUUUCAAUCAAUUUCUCCUCUUUUAUGAAGUGGUUGUUCAAUUAAUUUCUCCUCUUUGUUUUUUUUUUAAUUCAUUUAAGAGUAUCAAAUAUGAAGUGGGCGAUGUUGUUGAGCUUCUUCCAAGCCAAGAUUCUUCAGCAAUAGAUGCGUUUAUAAAACGCUGUCAUUUGGACCCGGAAUCAUUCAUCACAGUAAGUAGCUCCACUCUGUUGACAUGAUGAUCCCAGAUUGUCUAACUGAAGUAAAUUUUGAUAACUAAUUUACUUUCAGGUUUGUCCGAGAGAGACAGUGAAUAAUGGUUCAUGUGGAGAAGUAAUUACACACCAUGUCCCUAUCAAGCUUAAGACUUUUGUUGAAUUAACAAUGGACGUUACAUCUGCUUCACCUCGACGAUACUUCUUCGAGGUAAGAGUCCUAAUGAUCUUGAAUAUCAGAUUUUUAUAAUGUAAUUUUAAGUAUUUGAUGGAAGUCGUUACAAUGUAUCUUCUCGGUGUCAGGUUAUGAGCUUCUAUGCAACAGCUGAACUUGAGAAGGAAAGACUGCAAUACUUUGCCUCAGCCGAGGGACGUGAUGACCUCUACAAUUACAAUCAGAAGGAAAGAAAAAGCGUCCUUGAGGUAACCAAUUGGGGACACCAUGAUUCGUCUUGAACCAAAUAGAUCUUAUUGCUACUGCCUAUGUAGGUGCUAGAGGAUUUCUCUUCCGUGCAAAUGCCUUUUGAGUGGCUAGUACAGUUAGUACCAUCGCUAAAACCACGAGCUUUUUCGAUAUCUUCAUCUCCUUUGGCCCACCCUGGUCAAGUACAUUUGACAGUAAGCGUGGUAUCAUGGAUCACCCCUUCAUACCCUUAUAAGAGAACUCGAAAAGGUCUAUGCUCCUCUUGGCUCGCAAGCCUCACACCUGAGCAAGGUUAGCACUGUGUUUCUAUGUAUUAUUUUAACUGACUCAGGUCUUUGUUUCUACGUAUUUAUCUUACAUUUUGUGUUCCGUUGUGUUUAGAGAUAAACAUACCGAUUUGGUUUCACAAAGGCUCUCUUCCUGCUCCACCACAGUCGCUUCCACUCAUCUUAGUGGGACCUGGAACCGGAUGUGCCCCUUUCCGCGGGUUCAUAGCUGAGAGAGCCGUGCAAGCUCAGACCAGCCCGAUCGCACCAGUCAUGUUCUUCUUUGGUUGCAGGAACAAAGACACUGACUUUUUAUACAAAGACUUCUGGGAGUCUCAUGCAAGAGAAGGAGGCAUGCUCUCUGAAGUAAAAGGCGGAGGGUUUUACACAGCAUUCUCUAGAGACCAACCGAAGAAGGUUUACGUGCAACACAGGAUACUAGAGAUGAGGAAGAAAGUUUGGGAUUUGCUAUGUGAUGGAGCCGCCGUUUACGUGGCGGGCUCGUCCACGAAAAUGCCUUGUGAUGUGAUGUCGGCCUUGGAGGAGAUUGUGAUGGAGGAGACCGGAGGAUCAAAGGAAAUGGCUUCACGGUGGCUCAAGGCUUUGGAGAAAGCUGGGAGAUACAAUGUUGAAGCUUGGUCUUAAACCCAACUUCCUCCAUAUCAUGUAAUGUUUGAUUACUAGCUAUACGAAUCAUUGGAUUAUUUAUUUAUUUAAAUUGAUUUUAUAAUAUUCACAUUGAACGGUUCAAAUGAAGAUGAUUUGUUUGAUUGUAUACAUUUGAACUUUAUUUAUAAUUUAAUUUUAAUUUUUUUUAUAUAACGAGGUUCUUACCUUUUUCAUUUUAACUAGAGUUUGUUGAAUAAAUCAUUCACCUCACUGAAUAAUACAAGAUUUCAGUGUUUAUAUAAAAAUCAUCAAUUAAAUAACAUCAGAUUUUAAACAGAACUGAAAAUCAACGUACAAUGUCAAUUACUCAAUUUUUUUAUUUAUUAAUUUAUUGUAUAAUAACACUUUAGUUAUUUUUCAAAUGUUUUCGAUCGGCAAAUUUAAUAGAAUAUAUUUAUUCUUCAAUUAAUCAUUGAGUGGCAAAAUUAAAAAUGAAAUAAUCAAUUGUUAUAAAAUGGACAGAAACUAUUAUUUUUCUAAAUUUGUUUAUUUUUUUAAAAAAAAUUGUGCAGUCAAAGUGUUAGUUGAUAAUAAUUCUACACAAACAAUACUUUCAAGUAUUAAAGCUGCUGGUUUCAAAUACUUUGGUAAUAAAAUGUUAAUGUCCUAAAGUAUAUAGGUGAGACUGGGGUUUUAAUAAUAUUGAGAGUUUAUAUCUACACUAUAAAUUAGUAAUUGUUUAUUAAACCAAUGAUUAAUGACAUUAACGUGUCUUCUUCACUAAAAUGUCUUGAGAUCUCUAUCCAUCCCAUCACUCUCCAGAGGCUAAUUCACACUCUAUCGGGCAAGCAAGAACCUCAUCCCCAUCUGAACUUUUUUUUUUUUAAACUGACUUAUAAAAGGUAAAGCUAAAUGGCGGUGGCCUUCCAUGGAGGCCGGAACGGCGUCGGAUCGGGACUCCGCAGUUUCUUCUCGUACCGGAUCUUCAUCUCCGCCUUGUUCUCUUUCCUCUUCCUCGCCACCUUCUCCGUUGUCCUCAACUCCUCUCGUCACCAACCUCAUCUCGAUCACGUAAGCUUCCGAUUCGUUUCACAAUCCGAAU